This 500-nucleotide ribosomal RNA is filed under the name Enterococcus faecium. Its description in RNAcentral is "partial 23S ribosomal RNA". It matches the Rfam family "Bacterial large subunit ribosomal RNA", at positions 1069 to 1570 of the family's 2925-position model. The record is from RNAcentral. Lineage: Bacteria; Bacillati; Bacillota; Bacilli; Lactobacillales; Enterococcaceae.
AAGGAUGUGAGAUUUCUAAGACAACUAGGAUGUUGGCUUAGAAGCAGCCAUUCAUUAAAAGAGUGCGUAAUAGCUCACUAGUCGAGAGAUCUUGCGCCGAAAAUGUAACGGGGCUAAACUUACCACCGAAGCUACGGGCUUGAACUAAGUUCAAGCGGUAGGAGAGCGUCGUAACCGGGCUGAAGUCGUACCGUAAGGAGCGGUGGACUGGUUACGAGUGAGAAUGUUGGCAUCAGUAGCGAGAUGUGGGUGAGAAUCCCACAGGCCGAAAACCUAAGGUUUCCUCAGGAAGGUUCGUCCGCUGAGGGUUAGUCGGGACCUAAGCCGAGGCCGAAAGGCGUAGGUGAUGGACAACUGGUUGAUAUUCCAGUACCACUACCAUCGUUAUUAUCGAUGGCGUGACGCAGGAGGAUAGUGUGUGCUAGCUAUUGGAUGCUAGUCUAAGCGUUUAGGCAGUGAGAGUAGGCAAAUCCGCUCUCAUAAUGCUGAGGCGUGAUGGG